This 1278-nucleotide ribosomal RNA is filed under the name Triticum aestivum (bread wheat). RNAcentral describes it as "partial small subunit ribosomal RNA". The record is from RNAcentral. Lineage: Eukaryota; Viridiplantae; Streptophyta; Magnoliopsida; Poales; Poaceae.
AUGCAAUUUAGGCUGCUUCUUAAAGCGCAUUUGAUCCUGUUAAAAUGCCCUCUCAGACCCAUCUCAUAUUCCGAAGCAACAGUGAGACUUCCAGCCAUACAAAUGAGCGCCAAAGCCAUCUCCCUCUAUUGCUGUAUACCUGCUGCAUUUCUGCUCUUCUUUGCCCAUCUCAAUAACCCAACCACUUCAUUCCUUCGAGCUCUGCUUGAUCUUGCAACACCACCCCUAACAUUUAAUUUGCUUACUGUUCAUUAUUUUUCUAACUAUCAUCGCCAUCUUGGUUCGUAUAACCCGCUCUGUGAUGAUUUCCCGCCAGACUUCCCACCGCCUAACACCGCAGCAACAUCGAUCUUCUGUGUCGACCCCAACGGCUGCUGCGACUUCACCACAGUGCAGUCCGCGGUUGAUGCUGUGCCAAGAUCCAGCCAAAAGAGGAACGUUGUGUGGAUCAACAAGGGCAUCUAUUUUGAGAAAGUAACAGUCCCUGCUACAAAGCCCAACAUCACAUUCCAGGGGCAGGGAUUUGAUCUGACGGCAAUCAUGUGGAACGACACCGCCAACUCAUCACAUGGAACCUUCUACAGCGCUUCGGUUUCUGUUUUCGCAGCCGGCUUUGUCGCAAAGAACAUCAGCUUCAUUAAUGUAGCACCAAUUCCAAGACCCGGAGAUGUUGGUGCUCAGGCAGUCGCUCUGAGGAUCGGCAGUGACCAGGCGGCAUUCUGGGGCUGCGGCUUCUUUGGGGCACAAGAUACACUGCACGAUGAUCGGGGCCGGCAUUACUUCAAGGAAUGUUUCAUUCAGGGCUCCAUCGACUUCAUCUUCGGAGAUGCUAGGUCACUCUAUGAGAACUGCAGAUUGAUUUCGAUAGCAGAUCCUGUGCCUGCAGGGGUGAGAUCCAUCACUGGUUCAGUUACUGCGCAUGCCCGGGAAUCCAACUUAGAAAACACCGGCUAUUCAUUUGUCGACUGCAGCAUCGGCGGCACCGGGUGGAUAUGGCUUGGGCGAGCGUGGAGACCUUACUCCCGUGUUGUAUUUGCAUACACUUCGAUGUCAAAUAUCAUCGCCUCCGAUGGAUGGAAUGAUUGGAGUGAUCCUUCAAGAGAUCAGAGUGUGUUUUAUGGAGAGUACAAGUGUACAGGCGAUGGCGCACACCUGGCGGGCAGAGUGCCGUACGCUCUUGAGCUCAGCGACCUGCAAGCAUUGCCUUACUUGAACACAUCUUUUAUUGACGGUGACCUAUGGCUGAAACCAUACUACGACUCACUAAUAUCUGCAUGA